Molecule: ribosomal RNA, 490 nt
Filed under: uncultured bacterium
Lineage: Bacteria
Description: partial 16S ribosomal RNA
Rfam family: Bacterial small subunit ribosomal RNA
Source: RNAcentral
AUUGAACGCUGGCGGCAGGCCUAACACAUGCAAGUCGAACGGUAACAGGAAGCAGCUUGCUGCUUCGCUGACGAGUGGCGGACGGGUGAGUAAUGUCUGGGAAGCUGCCUGAUGGAGGGGGAUAACUACUGGAAACGGUAGCUAAUACCGCAUAAUGUCGCAAGACCAAAGAGGGGGACCUUCGGGCCUCUUGCCAUCGGAUGUGCCCAGAUGGGAUUAGCUUGUUGGUGGGGUAACGGCUCACCAAGGCGACGAUCCCUAGCUGGUCUAAGAGGAUGACCAGCCACACUGGAACUGAGACACGGUCCAGACUCCUACGGGAGGCAGCAGUGGGGAAUAUUGCACAAUGGGCGCAAGCCUGAUGCAGCCAUGCCGCGUGUAUGAAGAAGGCCUUCGGGUUGUAAAGUACUUUCAGCGGGGAGGAAGGGAGUAAAGUUAAUACCUUUGCUCAUUGACGUUACCCGCAGAAGAAGCACCGGCUAACUCCGUG